AACGCACAUUGCGCCCAUUAGUAUUCUAGUGGGCAUGCCUGUUCGAGCGUCAUUAAAUCCACUUAAGCCCUGCUUAGUGUUGGGAGACUGCGCCGGCGGAGCUACCCUGUAGCUACCCUGCAGCUCCUCAAAGAUAGCGGCGGAGUUGUGAUAUCCUCUGAGCUUAGUAAAUCAUUCUAGCUUUCGAGAAGAUUACUUCCCUUGCCGUUAAACCACUUAAUUUUUAUGGUUGACCUCGGAUCAGGUAGGAAUACCCGCUGAACUUAA
RNAcentral lists this unclassified non-coding RNA (267 nucleotides) under uncultured fungus. RNAcentral's name for it is "partial contains 5.8S ribosomal RNA, internal transcribed spacer 2, and large subunit ribosomal RNA". Lineage: Eukaryota; Fungi. The record is from RNAcentral.